Molecule: ribosomal RNA, 446 nt
Filed under: uncultured bacterium
Lineage: Bacteria
Description: partial 16S ribosomal RNA
Rfam family: Bacterial small subunit ribosomal RNA
Source: RNAcentral
CCUACGGGUGACAGCAGUCGAGAAUUAUUCACAAUGGGGGAAACCUUGAUGGUGCGACGCCGCGUGGGGGAAUGAAGUUCUUCGGAUUGUAAACCCCUGUCAUGUGGGAGCAAAUUAAAAAGAUAGUACCCCAAGAGGAAGAGACGGCUAACUCUGUGCAAGCAGCCGCGGUAAUACAGAGGUCUCAAGCGUUGUUCGGAAUCACUGGGCGUAAAGCGUGCGUAGGCUGUUUCGUAAGUCGUGUGUGAAAGGCGCGGGCUCAACCCGCGGACGGCACAUGAUACUGCGAGACUAGAGUAAUGGAGGGGGAACCGGAAUUCUCGGUGUAGCAGUGAAAUGCGUAGAUAUCGAGAGGAACACUCGUGGCGAAGGCGGGUUCCUGGACAUUAACUGACGCUGAGGCACGAAGGCCAGGGGAGCGAAAGGGAUUAGAUACCCGUGUAGUC